UUCCAGACUCCUACGGGAGGCAGCAGUGGGGGAUAUUGCACAAUGGGGGGAACCCUGAUGCAGCGACGCCGCGUGGGUGAAGAAGCGCCUCGGCGCGUAAAGCCCUGUCAGCAGGGAAGAAAAUGACGGUACCUGAAGAAGAAGCCCCGGCUAACUACGUGCCAGCAGCCGCGGUAAUACGUAGGGGGCAAGCGUUAUCCGGAUUUACUGGGUGUAAAGGGAGCGUAGACGGCGAAGAAAGUCUGAAGUGAAAGCCCGCGGCUUAACCGCGGAACUGCUUUGGAAACUUUUUUGCUGGAGUACCGGAGAGGUAAGCGGAAUUCCUAGUGUAGCGGUGAAAUGCGUAGAUAUUAGGAGGAACACCA
RNAcentral lists this ribosomal RNA (365 nucleotides) under uncultured bacterium. RNAcentral's name for it is "bacterial SSU rRNA". It matches the Rfam family "Bacterial small subunit ribosomal RNA", at positions 329 to 711 of the family's 1533-position model. The record is from RNAcentral.